This 3233-nucleotide unclassified non-coding RNA is filed under the name Leishmania donovani. Its description in RNAcentral is "gene:LdHU3.32.0830(CDS-product:phosphatase_putati ve)". The record is from RNAcentral. Lineage: Eukaryota; Euglenozoa; Kinetoplastea; Trypanosomatida; Trypanosomatidae.
CUGGCCCCAUUUUCGGCGCUUUACUUUCUAUUUCUCGCUUCUGGACGCGUGCACCUGUCGAAGUGUGCGUGUGGGUUGCUCACCGUGGGAGGGAUAGAUUGUGCCGCUCUGGGUCAUUGCGCUUGUACACACGUGAUACACAGGCACAGACGCCCAAAGUCAACUGUCGUAGCUGUUGCGGGUGUGAGCGCCGCUGCAACUGGCUGGAUGCUCGCAGACGUGACAGACACCUAUGGCCGUCCUCCAUCGGAGCGCGGCGCGCGAGGGGACGGCGGCGCCAAGCACCAGAAGAAGAAGCGGAAGACAAAGCUGAAGCGCGUCGACGAGUCAGAGCAGGACGGCUGGCUCGAUCGCGCGCGGCAGGGCCUGCACUGCUCGCUUUUCUGCGGCGGCGCUAAGUGUCGCCAGGAGAGCUGGGAGGCCAUGAAGGAGAAGGAUCAGCGUGCCGCGGCCAUCGAGGGCCUGCAGUCGAACUGGGUCGGCAACGACGUCAUCGCGAGCCAGCGACCGUCGACGUCGCUCUUUCUCAAAUACCCCAUUAUCGCUCAGUUUCAUGCCAAAAAUGUCACUGGGGUUCUCAACCUACAAGAGAAGGGUGAACAUGGCAACUGCGGGCCGGACGGCAUCUACGAAAGCAGCGGCUACAGCUACAACGGCGCCGAAGAUCUGAUGCCACACGGCAUCUCGUACUACGAGUUUCCGUGGCCGGACAUGACAGCUCCGCAACAGGACAUCGUGCUGCGCAGUGUGCAGGUCAUGGACUACCACAUCAAGCAGAAAGGUAAGGUCCUGGUACACUGCCACGCCGGGCUUGGCCGCACUGGACUCAUGAUCGCGUGCUAUUACGUGUACAGCCAGCACAUACCGUCCGACGAGGCGAUUGCGCUGGUACGCAAGAUGCGUCCUGGCGCUAUUCAGACGACGCGCCAGGCGCAGUUCAUUGCGGACUUCGAGAAGCAUCUGUGGCGACUCUCACAGGCGUUCCGGGUUGAAAUCUCCGAUGCCUUGAUUGAUCUCAACCUCUUCAUUCAGCGACAGCGCCUCGUGCUGCAUGGCGAGCAGGCAGACUUGUACAAGAGCGUGCCACUCUUUCUCCACACCAUCUUGUGCCGCCUGCUCAACCUGACGAAGAACAACCCAGAUGCGGCGCGACUGGCAUUGCAGUCCCUUGGUCCAAGCGCUGCACCAACGGACACGACGCUGUCAGCGUGCCGCAUCGCCAUCAACCGUCGCCGCUUCCGCGUGCAGAGCGUGCGUGAUGUGUCCAUUCUGAGCUUCUUGGUGUGUGACUGGUUCCGCAGCACGUCAUCGCCGGCGUUGACGGAGGAGAACUGCGACCAGAUCGUGGAGAGCAUGCGGGCUUCCAUCUCGAAGCAGGAGGGGCUGCCGUUGGAGAUUCGCCGUAUCCUGUCGAAGCCGGCGCGCCACACCCUGGGGAUGGUGAUCUCGGCGUUCAUUAUCAUCUCAAGGCAGGUGGGCUGCGUCAGCCUUACAAACUUUGCCUUCCGCUGCGUCGUCGACUCCUUCAACCACGCCUUCAACCCUAUCAAGGUUCGCCACAGCCCGCUCGAGCGCGAGCUUAUUCACAAGUUUUUCUUGGAGUGGGGUGAGAGCGUAGGGGACUUGUACUUUAACUACGACACCGUACCCGCCGCGCACCGCACCAUCAAGCGGAUUGCGCUGGCCUCCUCCAUUGUACUGGAGGCGACGAAGAACACCGAUCCGCCGCGGAGGAGCUCGCCUAGUGUUCAGACCCUCUCAGUGCCGUCGUCCACGCAGGAGAUGCCUAGCAACCCAGCCAAAAAAACGGAGGCCCCUGAGUCUACGCUGGUCUUUUCUACUCAAAGUCGUGCUUCCCACCUGCCAGACAUGCCCCUCGCCGUCGAAACGGACUCGGAAAGCAAAACACGCCUCUGGCGGCAACACUUGAUCGAGUACCGCCGUGACACGGAUGCUCGGUGUGGCCGCGGCGAGCAACAGCGUCCGCCCGCCUCUUCAGUCGACGCCAAGGUAAAGCGCUGAAAUAGCGGCGCGCUUUCUUUCUCUCUCUGUGUUCGGGUGCGUGUUUGCUUGAGUGCGCGUGUGCGUAUCGGCGCCUCCCCUCUCCCUCCUCCUUCUUUCCCCUCAUACACCCACCUACCUCUACCCUGUCACGCACACAUAUAUUUAUGAGGGAGGCAUAGAAGAUGCAGCAGCGGCAGAGAGUAGUAUGGCUGUUGUGGCUGUGGUUAUAUAUCUAUGUGUGUGCAGGUGUGCCUCUUCUCCUCCUUUCGGUUCUGGGUGUGCUUUCCAGCCACCUCAUGUCGAUGCCGUGACACACCCUUCCCCUUUGUUUUUCAGCUUUUGAGGGGUAUGCGCGAAUCGGUCGCCGCUAUCCCCGUCUUGUUCUGUUUUCGGUCCUUUUGGGAGACCUGCGCCUCACCCCAAAUCGCCAUCUCGCCCCCUUCUAAUUUUGUUGCUCCUCUCUUUGGCGACUCUCGUCGGGUUUGUUUUCUGUUUCUUCACCAUCACCUGUUCUUUGCUUUAUCGGUUGGCGAGGCCCCCAAACGGCGCGCUGAUAAGCACGUGUACGUGCACGCGCACAGAUGUGGGCAGGCGCACAUAUACAGACACACGCGGAUUUCUCGACACCGUCUAUUUUCACUUCACUCAACGUUAUCCACUCCUCUGCCGAGUUGCGCACACACGUACACAUGCACGCCGAGAUGCAGUGGCCCAUCAAAGUAGUGGGGGUGACGUGGCACUGCUUGUCCGGUUCUGUGAGUGUGUUUGCGCCUGUGUGUGCGCGAUCUCAUCCUGGUUCACCGCUCGUCGCUCUUCUAGGCAGGUGAUCUGUUAUGUCCACUCAACUGUUUUUGUUUGCAUUAAUUUUGGCCCCUUUUCUGUUUUUUUUUUAGAGUGCCGCAGCUUCCAUUGCAGAGUUUAGCCGCUCUCUCUCCAUCCCUUCCUCUCCCCCAUUUUCGUCUUUGCCGUGUCGUCUCUCGCUUCAUCUCCUUCUUUUCUGCGUCGUCGUCGCGACUCGCGCUGCUCCCAACACGUCAAAACGUGACGGCUUGGAAAAAGGCAAGACGAAAUCGAAUGCGAGAGAAAAUGCCUAUAGGAGAAGUGGGGCGUGCGUAUACGCGUCUUGCGGUCACUGAAGGACGUUCUUUCGAGGUCUCAGUUGCGGAGGGUAUUGCUCGCUCGCGCGGGCGUGUUUCACUAUUUUCCCUUUCUCUGUCACUGCUGUCCAC